UCCAUUCAGUUGGUGCGUGUUGGCUGUGAGCUGUUGAGCCCAAACACACCAGAGCGAUAAUGUCAAAACAACGUUAAACGGCCACCGCAGCUCGUCUAGCACAGUUCAAUGCAUACUUAUUAUUCCAUUCUCUGUGAGUUCACCAUUGCAGGUCUCCCAACUUCAACCAUACCUUGAUAUGCAGGUGUUAUAAAGAGCGCUGACUAAAUGGCCUACCGUUGGAGGCGGACUUCUUCCCCUUGCGGGCCAGGGUGAGCUGGACCUGUUGCUGGACCCGGACGCUCCGGUCGACGGAGUGGAACCUGGCCGGGCUCAGGAUGCUGUGCUCGGCAGGCAGGGCCAGACUGCUGUCGUCCAGGACCUGAGGGGGGAGAACGGACUUGAAACAACCCUCGUCCCCCAUCUCGGAUCCUUCCGGUGUCGGUCAACGACGGCUGGUCGUCUCCCCCUGUUUUGAGGGCAUAACUUCUCCGGGCGUCACCCGGUGUCAUUUUACCCGAGGCUCUGUUAAAGCGAGACGCCCCGUUCCGCGGGUUCAGACGGCUUCCUUCCUCCUUCACAGGUCUGUCAUGUUAUCCCCCCUCCACCGCCAUGACAUCAUGGAGGACUCUGAGUCCAUCUACUCCCCCUGCUGGUUGGUGGUCACACUGCAGCUCAAUUA
This is a long non-coding RNA of Gadus morhua (Atlantic cod), 661 nucleotides long. Lineage: Eukaryota; Metazoa; Chordata; Actinopteri; Gadiformes; Gadidae. The record is from Ensembl.